UACGGAGGGGGCAAGCGUUGUUCGGAAUUAUUGGGCGUAAAGAGUAUGUAGGCUGUCAAGUAAGUCAGGCGUGUAAGCCCUCGGCUCAACCGAGGAAUUGCGUUUGAAACUGUUUGACUUGAGUACGGAAGAGGAAAGCGGAAUUCCCAGUGUAGCGGUGAAAUGCAUUGAUAUUGGGAAGAACAUCGGUGGCGAAGGCGGCUUUCUGGUUCGAUACUGACGCUGAGAUACGAAAGCCAGGGGAGCAAACGGG
This 253-nucleotide ribosomal RNA is filed under the name uncultured bacterium. Its description in RNAcentral is "partial 16S ribosomal RNA". It matches the Rfam family "Bacterial small subunit ribosomal RNA", at positions 524 to 776 of the family's 1533-position model. The record is from RNAcentral.